RNAcentral lists this ribosomal RNA (372 nucleotides) under uncultured bacterium. Its description in RNAcentral is "bacterial SSU rRNA". It matches the Rfam family "Bacterial small subunit ribosomal RNA", at positions 527 to 896 of the family's 1533-position model. The record is from RNAcentral.
AGAGGGUGCAAGCGUUGUUCGGAAUUACUGGGCGUAAAGCGCGCGCAGGCGGAUCCUGUAAGUCGGAAGUGAAAUUUCGGAGCUCAACUCCGAAGCUGCUUCUGAUACUGCGGAUCUGGAGACCGGUAGAGGUCGGUGGAAUUACAGGUGUAGCGGUGGAAUGCGUAGAUAUCUGUAAGAACACCCGUGGCGAAGGCGGCCGACUGGGCCGGAUCUGACGCUGAGGCGCGAAAGCGUGGGGAGCAAACAGGAUUAGAUACCCUGGUAGUCCACGCCGUAAACGAUGGGCACUAGGUGCCGGGGGGAGCGACCCCUUCGGUGCCGCAGCUAACGCGAUAAGUGCCCCGCCUGGGGAGUACGGCCGCAAGGCUG